AAGAAGAUGACCUUGGCACUGGAGGUUAGAUUUUUUUCCAAAACCUAAAGAGAAAUUUUGUGUGUAUUAGCCCUUGUAUUAAUUCAAAUAGAAAUCUGAUUAAUAGAUGGUUUGUUCCUUUUCGUUAGUCUGAACAGAACGGUAUGUCUGGAUUUAUUAGUCUUCCUGAAUGCUUGUUUUAGUCUUUGCCUUACAAAUAAUUUUUUACUAUUUCACAUUUAAUAGCCUGAAAGGUAUAUUUUUGUCUUGGGGAGAUGAAUAACAGCCUUUAAACCAGAUACGCUGGUUUCCGUGAGAAGCCGUAACCAGCCUGCAAUAAUGAAAGGAGGAGGGACUAAAAGAACUCAUGAAGAGAUGAAACUCAUUGAAAUUAUACAGCAUACAGAGGGAUAUUGCAUCGAAAGAAUCUACAGAAAUGCUGUGUGUUCUUAUGCAAAUAUUAGUGGUAUCACUAGAGCACAAUUAAUUUUAGCUUCACAUUUAAUUAAAAUUCCAAACCUUCCCAGUAUGCUGUUAUGA
RNAcentral lists this long non-coding RNA (519 nucleotides) under Struthio camelus australis. Its description in RNAcentral is "lncRNA (ENSSCUG00000011907.1)". Lineage: Eukaryota; Metazoa; Chordata; Aves; Struthioniformes; Struthionidae. The record is from RNAcentral.